This 503-nucleotide ribosomal RNA is filed under the name uncultured Actinomyces sp. Its description in RNAcentral is "partial 16S ribosomal RNA". The record is from RNAcentral. Lineage: Bacteria; Bacillati; Actinomycetota; Actinomycetes; Actinomycetales; Actinomycetaceae.
CACGUAGUUAGCCGGCGCUUCUUUACCCACUACCCUCACCACGACCCACGUCGCGGCUUGACCACGGGCGAAAGAGGUUCACAACCCGAAGGCCUCCAUCCCUCACGCGGCGUCGCUGCAUCAGGCUUGCGCCCAUUGUGCAAUAUUCCCCACUGCUGCCUCCCGUAGGAGUCUGGGCCGUAUCUCAGUCCCAAUGUGACCGGUCACCCUCUCAGGCCGGCUACCCGUCAAAGCCUUGGUGGGCCAUCACCCCACCAACAAGCUGAUAGGCCGCGAGCCCAUCCCCCACCAGAAAAAAACCCUUUCCACCAGACCCCAUGCGAGGACCAGUGAAUACCCGGUAUUAGCAGCCCUUUCAGACCGUUAUCCCGAAGAAGGGGGCAGGUUACUCACGUGUUACUCACCCGUUCGCCACUAAUCAACGGCGCAAGCGCCGCAUCAUCGUUCGACUUGCAUGUGUUAAGCACGCCGCCAGCGUUCGUCCUGAGCCAGGAUCAAACUCU